CCAACUUAUCAGUGGUUUAAAGCACAUUCAGCAACUGGUUCUCACAUUUAUCAAGUUCAGAAUGAUCCCAUGUUUUCAACAGGAUUACAUUACAGACAUGGCAGAUAUUCAUUUUUUUUAAAUGAGACUCAAUGCAUUUCAACAUGGACAUAAGUGUAUAUAUCAGUUCCUUUAUCUGUGUGGACAUAUUAUUUCUCCAACCUAUCAAUCAGAUCAUGUAGCACAAUUAGCUUAUUGACUACAAGGCAGUAUUACAGCCUCAUCAGUGCCCGUGCAAACAUUCCAGAAGUAUGUUACUGAUUGUGAACCAAAAUUGUAAACCUACGCCGUAAAUCGUGAUGUACCAUAAAGGACAAACUACAGCUUCAUCAGUGCCCAAGCAGUCCAGAAGUAUGUUAAAGCGAACAUGAUUGUAAACCUACUCCAUAACUCGGGAUGUAGCUAAUUCCAGCAACUUGAAUCCUUAAAAUUGGACAACAUACACUUUUUAAA
Molecule: long non-coding RNA, 492 nt
Filed under: Mytilus galloprovincialis (Mediterranean mussel)
Lineage: Eukaryota; Metazoa; Mollusca; Bivalvia; Mytilida; Mytilidae
Source: RNAcentral